UGAGGACUUGAAUCUUUUGAGUAUAGGAGUUAAUUGUGAAGUAUAGAAGGAGACUUCAAUAUUAAUAGUUAAUCAAUGGGUUGAGUCCACUCGAGAGGGGGCUUAGCCUAGAAUAGCGAUUGUCCUUCUAAUCCUAGAGACUUCAACGGGUAAUCAAAGUUGUUGAGUUGUUUACAUUGUGGGUAUUGUAGUCGGAUCCAAAGCUCUACCUCGUUCUCUUAUUUGAAACCUAUCCUUUGUUGCGUGCUUUUAACUUGUUUAUGUUUAAUUGUUUUUCCAAGAAUCAACCAAACCUUUGAAUCGUCUAGAUAGUAGUUAAAAUCGGUCCGUGGUACUUGAGUUUAUACAUUUUGUCUCUGUGGGAUACGAUACUCUUGCUUGCUUUGUGCUACACUAGCCCCGUACACUUGCGGGAUUUUCUUGUGUUAAAAUAAGUUGAGUCAGCAUGGGAAUAGGUGCUCUUACAUACUGAACAGUUAAACUUGUUAUCCUCUGCCUCCACCUUCUUAAAACAGGUCUUACAUGACAUGUAAUACCAUGUAUCAUAAUGUGCUUCCACAGAUACAAUCUUUCCAAAAACCCAAUAUAAACCAUCCUGUGAAUAAUUGGCAGAAAUGAACUAAUCUAAUGUAAGACAGUUUAAUUAACAAAAUAAGUCAAUGUAAACUUAUUCAUUUCAAUUGGGCAAAGAAAUAUUUAAUACAUCUAGACAUUCUAAAUCCUCAAGAGACUCACUGUAAGAUUUUCAAACUCACUGUUAAUGAAUGGUCCAACUUGACCCAAAGAACCAUAGGGAAUAAAUCUCUCAUCACCUUCAAUUCUAUAAAAAUAUCAUCCAAAAAUCAGUUGACAAUAAGAAAAUAAAUAACUACAUAGUUGUAGAACAUAUUCAUCUUACAAAAUGUGAGAACUAUAUUACACCUAAUAGCUUAUACCUUUUCCUAAAAGCAGUAACUUCAUCUAAUUCUGGAUUAAUUAGAACCUUCGACGCUUGAAAGUGUGUCGAUAUUCUCAUUUCACCUAAUACAUUAUAAAAUCAGAUUAGGAAUACAGUUUAUGUCAGAUAACCAAUGAAGAAAAACAAACAACAAAGAGACAAAUGUAAGAGAAAUGAAACCUCUGAAUAAAUUAGUCUUGCAAAUUUGAACAAUAACAAUGGGAAUGGUUCCUUUACUCUUUUUGAAAUCUUCCUUAUAAGAAUCAACAUUUGAUUCCCAAAUGGUACAAAAUAUUUUAUUAUGCCUGUACACAAAAAAGAAGUGUUAACUUUCAGACAAAUCCAAGUACAGAAUUUUAAUUUACAACUCUUCAUACAACUUACUGUUCAUCACUGAUUUCAAUCUCAAUAAGUCUGUACUUAGAUUGCUUGAGCUCUUUUCCUGGAUUAGUGAUAACUCCAAUAACAUCUGUAAAUUAAUAAAUCAGAAAUAAACCUAUGUACUGAGUAUUAAAACAAACAUAUUACAACAUAGAAUUUAAAUCCUUACCAAAAAAAAGCUGUGUCAUCAUACUGUCUCAAUAGGGAAAUUUCAGGGAAUGGCUUGAAAGCAAACAUCAUUCUAAGAAAUGUCAAAUCUUUAACCUCAAACACCUCAGUGUAGCUAUUCAUCACCAGCCUAAACUGGUGGUUUGUAGCUUUGUUUUUAGAGUGUUAUUCUGCACCAAAAAAAAUUUAAUAUAAAACACACAACCUUCCCUAAGUAGAGAGGCCAGCUUUUUCAUGAUGUUAUUAGUAAAUGAUGCUUGUAUUCUUGUCCCCUGUAAUAACACAAGACAUUAGUAAUUAGUUCCAUUUAGUUUACAAUAACAGCCUACUUCAUUGGUAAACAAAAGAUGAUACCUCAAUAUCAUGCAACACACACUCUAGGCUGUUAUCAUUCUUAUCUUCGGGAACCCCUUCAUACCUACGGACACAUCUUACUUUGAUGGUCGAGGUAGUGAUUGCCUUGGAAAGAUUAGUUAAGCAUGUUACAAAAGGCGACAUUUCUUCACAAUCUGCUCAAUUAGAUGGAAACAUGAAAUACUGUCAGGAGAUGGACUGUACUAACAGAUUAAACACUUAGUCCACUUAUCAUUGACAUAAACCAAUAACAAUAUAAUCUCUUAUUUGCAGAAAAAAUGCAGGGGAUGAGGUUGGUAAUCUGUGCAAGCAGAAAGAUGCAACAACGGGAGAGCUAUAUGUUGAAACUAAAGGGACUUGAAGAGGAACUUUCACAAAAAUGGAGUUCAAAACCUUUUGAUUACAACCCUAAAAAGCAGCCGCCUACCACUCUCUCCACAAGAAAAAGAUAGAGACAAAGCCAUUCAAAAAGAAAGCUACCUACACAGAGGCUGCUAAAGUUCUGAAAAUGGAUCCUUCCAUAAGAACCUCUUCAAGUCUACAAAGGUUAGGAGAAGGCCAAGCAAUGCAUAUCAAAAGGUUAUGAAUUCUCAUAAGGAAGAGAAGCAAUUCAUACCAUAAAUUAAGGUAAUUACAUUGCUGUCCAGAAUACUUAUACUACUUAUCAGGUAAUUACAUUACUUUCCAGAAUAUUUAUAGCAAGA
Long non-coding RNA from Salvia splendens (bonfire salvia), 2544 nucleotides. RefSeq lists it as uncharacterized. The record is from RefSeq and is a predicted model, not a curated record. The transcript is spliced from 3 exons. Lineage: Eukaryota; Viridiplantae; Streptophyta; Magnoliopsida; Lamiales; Lamiaceae.